CAGUCGCCGCGGUAAUACGAAGGGGGCUAGCGUUGCUCGGAAUGACUGGGCGUAAAGGGCGCGUAGGCGGACAUUUAAGUCAGGGGUGAAAUCCCAGAGCUCAACUCUGGAACUGCCUUUGAUACUGGGUGUCUUGAGUGUGAUAGAGGUAUGUGGAACUCUGAGUGUAGAGGUGAAAUUCGUAGAUAUUCGGAAGAACACCAGUGGCGAAGGCGACAUACUGGAUCAUUACUGACGCUGAGGCUCGAAAGCGUGGGGAGCAAACAAGAUUAGAUACCCCCGUAGUCCCUGUCUCUUAUAC
RNAcentral lists this ribosomal RNA (301 nucleotides) under uncultured bacterium. RNAcentral describes it as "partial 16S ribosomal RNA". It matches the Rfam family "Bacterial small subunit ribosomal RNA", at positions 509 to 807 of the family's 1533-position model. The record is from RNAcentral.